AACGAACGCUGGCGGCAGGCUUAACACAUGCAAGUCGAACGCAUCCUUCGGGGUGAGUGGCAGACGGGUGAGUAACGCGUGGGAACGUGCCCUUCAGUUCGGGAUAACCCAGGGAAACUUGGGCUAAUACCGGAUACGUGCGAGAGCAGAAAGAUUUAUCGCUGAAGGAUCGGCCCGCGUCUGAUUAGCUAGUUGGUGGGGUAAUGGCCCACCAAGGCGACGAUCAGUAGCUGGUCUGAGAGGAUGAUCCGCCACAUUGGGACUGAGACACGGCCCAAACGCCUACGGGAGGCAGCAGUGGGGAAUAUUGGACAAUGGGCGCAAGCCUGAUCCAGCCAUGCCGCGUGAGUGAUGAAGGCCUUAGGGUUGUAAAGCUCUUUCGUCCGGGACGAUAAUGACGGUACCGGAAGAAGAAGCCCCGGCUAACUUCGUGCCAGCCGCCGCAGUAA
This 449-nucleotide ribosomal RNA is filed under the name uncultured bacterium. RNAcentral describes it as "partial 16S ribosomal RNA". It matches the Rfam family "Bacterial small subunit ribosomal RNA", at positions 29 to 523 of the family's 1533-position model. The record is from RNAcentral.